GCUGGCGGCGUGCCUAAUACAUGCAAGUCGAGCGAAUCUUUGGGAGCUUGCUCCCAUUGGUUAGCGGCGGACGGGUGAGUAACACGUGGGCAACCUGCCUGUAAGACUGGGAUAACUUCGGGAAACCGGAGCUAAUACCGGAUAAUUCAUUUCCUCUCAUGAGGAAAUGCUGAAAGACGGUUUCGGCUGUCACUUACAGAUGGGCCCGCGGCGCAUUAGCUAGUUGGUGAGGUAACGGCUCACCAAGGCGACGAUGCGUAGCCGACCUGAGAGGGUGAUCGGCCACACUGGGACUGAGACACGGCCCAGACUCCUACGGGAGGCAGCAGUAGGGAAUCUUCCACAAUGGACGAAAGUCUGAUGGAGCAACGCCGCGUGAGCGAUGAAGGCCUUCGGGUCGUAAAGCUCUGUUGUUAGGGAAGAACAAGUACCGGAGUAACUGCCGGUACCUUGACGGUACCUAACCAGAAAGCCACGGCUAACUACGUGCCAGCAGCCGCGGUAAUACGUAGGUGGCAAGCGUUGUCCGGAAUUAUUGGGCGUAAAGCGCGCGCAGGCGGUCCUUUAAGUCUGAUGUGAAAGCCCACGGCUCAACCGUGGAGGGUCAUUGGAAACUGGGGGACUUGAGUGCAGAAGAGGAAAGCGGAAUUCCACGUGUAGCGGUGAAAUGCGUAGAGAUGUGGAGGAACACCAGUGGCGAAGGCGGCUUUCUGGUCUGUAACUGACGCUGAGGCGCGAAAGCGUGGGGAGCAAACAGGAUUAGAUACCCUGGUAGUCCACGCCGUAAACGAUGAGUGCUAAGUGUUAGGG
RNAcentral lists this ribosomal RNA (810 nucleotides) under Bacillus sp. IDA2290. Its description in RNAcentral is "bacterial SSU rRNA". It matches the Rfam family "Bacterial small subunit ribosomal RNA", at positions 35 to 828 of the family's 1533-position model. The record is from RNAcentral. Lineage: Bacteria; Bacillati; Bacillota; Bacilli; Caryophanales; Bacillaceae.